Long non-coding RNA from Mauremys reevesii (Reeves's turtle), 322 nucleotides. RefSeq lists it as uncharacterized. Lineage: Eukaryota; Metazoa; Chordata; Testudines; Geoemydidae. The record is from RefSeq and is a predicted model, not a curated record. The transcript is spliced from 4 exons.
AGGGGAAGCAGAAGCGAAAGCGAGUUUGCUCACUUGUUUGUGCUCUUGUUGUGCCUGCCUUCUUGCCUCAGGAGCUGAGGGCUCCAUAGAACUGUAGCUGUAAGGCUGUAUAGUGGGCCUGUUUCAUCAGACCACAGCUCUGGUGGAAGUACUGGACCCACUGAGAUGCCAGGAUGACAUGUCUAAUUAGAAUCACACUGAAGAUGUUCGACUUUACAUUUGACUGGAAGGAGUUUGAGUGACAAAGCAUCCACCACAUCCUUAGAUAGGGCCUGAUUGUCAGCCCAGACACAGUCAAACUUCCCUUUUUUGUGGUUGCAGG